This 2007-nucleotide ribosomal RNA is filed under the name Triticum aestivum (bread wheat). RNAcentral's name for it is "partial small subunit ribosomal RNA". Lineage: Eukaryota; Viridiplantae; Streptophyta; Magnoliopsida; Poales; Poaceae. The record is from RNAcentral.
AUGGAGGCGGCUCUUGUCAGCGUGGCGACGGGGGUCCUCAAACCUGUCAUAGGGAAGUUGACCACUCUGCUUGGCAACGAGUACAAGCGUUUCAAAACAGUUCGCAAGGAGAUCAAGUCCCUCACUCAUGAACUUGCUGCCAUGGAGGCUUUUCUCCUCAAGAUGUCUGAAGAGGAGGAUCCCGAUGUGCAGGAUAAAGUAUGGAUGAAUGAGGUGCGGGAACUGUCCUAUGACCUGGAAGAUGCCAUCGAUGACUUCAUGCAAAGCAUCGGUGAUAAAGAUGAAAAGCCAGAUGGUUUCAUUGAGAAGAUCAAGAACUCACUAGGGAAGUUGGGGAAGAUGACGGCUCGCCAUCGGAUUGGCAAAGAGAUUCAGGAUCUAAAGAAACAAAUCAUUGAAGUGGGCAAGAGGAAUGCAAGAUACAGGAGUCACGAGGCCUUCUCCAAGACUGUCAAUGCGACCGUUGACCCUAGAGCUCUUGCUAUAUUCGAGCAUGCAUCCAAGCUUGUUGGAGUCGAUGAACCCAAGGCUGAGAUAAUCAAACUUUUGAUGGAAGCUGAUGUUCGUGCUUCAGAGCAGCAACAGCAACAACAACUGAAGAUAGUCUCCAUUGUUGGAUCUGGAGGUAUGGGCAAAACAACUCUUGCAAACCAAGUGUAUCAAGAGCUCAGAGGACAAUACGAGUGUUGGGCUUUCGUCUCAGUUUCACGAAAUCCAGACAUGACCAAAAUCUUGAGAACCAUUCUAAGUGAAGUGGCUAAGAAAGACUAUGCUACCACUGAAGCUGGGAAUAUACAACAACUCGUCAUCAAGAUCAUAGAUUUUCUAGCAGACAAAAGGUAUUUUGUUGUUGUUGACGAUAUAUGGGACGUGGAUACGUGGGAUAUUGUUAAGCGUGCAUUCCCCGCUACAAGUUCUACCAGUAGAAUAAUCACCACCACUCGUAUGAACAGUAUCGCUCAUUUAUGUUGUUCAUCAUUCAAUGGUCAUAUUUACAAUAUAAGGGCUCUUGAUAUGGUGCACUCAAGACAGUUAUUUCACACAAGAUUAUUCAAGUCUGAUGAAGAUUGCCCUUCAUACCUUCAAGAAAUUUCUGAGCAGAUAUUGGAAAAAUGCGAUGGGUUACCUUUGGCGAUCAUUGCUAUAUCUGGUUUGUUGGCUAACACAGAAAGAACAAAAAAUAUAUGGAAUCAAGUAAAAGAUUCAAUUGGCCGUGCACUUGAAAGGAAUCCUAGUGUCGAAGGAAUGAUGAAGAUUUUGUCACUUAGUUACUUUGAUCUUCCUCCUUAUCUAAAAACUUGCCUCUUAUACCUAAGCAUAUAUCUAGAAGAUUCUACUAUUGAGAAGAAAGGCCUGAUAAGAAGAUGGAUUGCUGAAGGGUUCAUUCAUAGAGAGGGCAGAUACACGGCAUAUGAGUUAGGAGAAAGGUGUUUUAAUGAAUUACUCAACAGGGGUUUGAUCCAACCCGCAGAGACAAAUUUAUAUGGCAUAGUGAAGAGUUGUCGAGUUCAUGACACUAUUCUUGAUUUCAUCACAUUCAAGUCCAGAGAAGAGAACUUCAUUACUUUACUUGGUGUACCCAUUUUGACAAAUGAGAACCAAAGCAAAGUUGUUCGUCGACUCUGUCUACAAGGUGUCGAAGAAGGAAAUUCAACAAUACUGACAGCAGGUCUGGUGUUGUCCCAUGUCCGAUCCCUUAUUUUGGUUAGAGGUCUUGUGGAAAUCCCUUCGUUGGAGGAGUUCAGCCAUUUGCGUAUUCUCGACUUGAGCUUCCAACCAUUGGAGGAUCAUCAUCUUGAAGUUAUAGUGAGGUUGUUCCAGCUGAGGUACCUAAACCUCCAACGUACAAAAAUAAGUAAGCUCCCAGAACAAAUUGGUCAUUUAGGAUGCUUAGAGGUGCUGGACCUAAGAGGGACUUUUGUAAAGGAAUUACCUGCAUCUAUUGUUAAUCUUAGAAAGUUGAUGCAUCUACUUGUUAGAUCCGCUUUGGAAUAUUCAUUAAGAUGA